GGAUUCUUCGGGAUACUAGUAAACUGGCGAACGGGUGAGUAACACGUAGGUAAUCUACCCUGGAGAUUGGGAUAACCCCGGGAAACCGGAGCUAAUACCGAAUAAUGCAGCGGAUCCUUCGGGAUAUGUUGUUAAAGCGGGCUUUUGCUCGCACUUUAGGAUGAGCCUGCGUCCGAUUAGCUUGUUGGUGGGGUAAUAGCCUACCAAGGCGAUGAUCGGUAGCUGGUCUGAGAGGAUGAUCAGCCACACUGGGAUUGAGAUACGGCCCAGACUCCUACGGGAGGCAGCAGUGGGGAAUUUUGCGCAAUGGGCGAAAGCCUGACGCAGCAACGCCGCGUGAUCGAUGAAGCUUUUCGGAGUGUAAAGAUCUGUCGUGAGGGAAGAAUAACUUGGAUGCAAAUAGUUUUCAAGUCUGACGGUACCUCAUAAGAAAGCACCGGCUAACUUCGUGCCAGCAGCCGCGGUAAUACGAGGGGUGCUAGCGUUGUCCGGAAUCAUUGGGCGUAAAGGGUCCGUAGGUGUCUUUGCAAGUCGUUUGUUACAUCCACCGGCUUAACCGGUGGCCUGCAAUCGAAACUGCAAGGAUAGAGUUCGAGAGAGGAAAGUGGAAUUCCUGGUGUAGCGGUGACAUGCGUAGAUAUCAGGAGGAACACCAAUGGCGAAGGCAGCUUUCUGGCUCGACACUGACACUGAGGGACGAAAGCGUGGGUAGCGAACAGGAUUAGAUACCCUGGUAGUCCACGCCGUAAACGAUGAGUACUUGAUGUCGNAG
RNAcentral lists this ribosomal RNA (772 nucleotides) under uncultured Fidelibacterota bacterium. RNAcentral describes it as "SSU rRNA". It matches the Rfam family "Bacterial small subunit ribosomal RNA", at positions 73 to 828 of the family's 1533-position model. Lineage: Bacteria; Pseudomonadati; Fidelibacterota. The record is from RNAcentral.